Long non-coding RNA from Micropterus salmoides (largemouth bass), 1326 nucleotides. RefSeq lists it as uncharacterized. Lineage: Eukaryota; Metazoa; Chordata; Actinopteri; Centrarchiformes; Centrarchidae. The record is from RefSeq and is a predicted model, not a curated record. The transcript is spliced from 3 exons.
UUAAAGAGUCUGUGUAUUUUUUUCUGACAGUAGGUUUGAUAGACGUGAUGUUCGUGCUCUUUCAGGUGUUGAGACGUCUUGAUUACAGUAGUUUAAUGUUUUAUAGUGAGACACUGCCAGUAUUAAUGUAUCUGUAUAAUGUUUCUUGUCUUGUCCAGGCACAUAUUCCAACAUAUAUAACAGACCCAAAGUCAUUAAAGACCCACCAAAGAUAAAGCCGAUCCGUGUGUCCAGUAAAACGGGUAUCCCUCUGGACGUCCUUCCUGCCAGAGGCCUGACCGCCAAGCAGGCCGAGCGCAUGACGAGGAUCAACGACUCGGACCUGCCUCGGGUCUCCACCCAGCCUCGCCACAGGGAGGAGAGCAAAGAGGAGAGGAGACAAGGAAACAGGCCAUCAAGGACGAACGCAAGGAAAGGAGAGUCGAGAAGAAAGCCAACAAGAUGGCGUUCAAGGAGGAAAAAGUCAGACAGGAGAAGCAGAUGUUGAAUCUGAGAACAAACAUUCAAGGCAUGAAACUUUAGCUCCCCAACGCCGGCGUUCUGCCCGCACAGACUUUUCACCACGGACACGCUGCUCCUCACUUCAGUGGAGCUGACAGGAUGGAAAACAAGAGGACUGACAGGCUCUGGGUUUUUUAAGACCAGAAUUUCUUCAAAUCAUAAAGUUAAUUUAACUCCACUUUAAAUAUAAGGAGCAAAAAUCUUGAUGUUGUAACAGUUUGAAAUCCGGGAAAAGUAAAGGCUGAGUAUCGCACCAGAAUGUUUUGUAUCAAAAGUUGGCUUUGAAUUUCUGAAUUUACUUUUUCUAUUAUUUUCUUCUUCUUAUGCUAAAGGAAAUGCUCUAACUUUAGGGAAAUAUGCUUAUUGACUUGGCAGAGAAAAGAUAGAUCCCAUCCUCAUAUUUGCACGCUAACAGCCCACUAACUUAGCAGAGCAUAAAGACUGGAAACGAGGUAGUGUGGCUCUGUCCAAAGGUAAAAGAAAAAUAAUCCACCUACCAGCUCCUCUAAAUCUCACUAAUUAUUAUGUUUAACCAGUACGAAAACAUUAAGGAAAGACAAACCGCCUUGUUACAGGGGUUAUGUGCUGGACUAUUUCCUUGCUAUAAAAGAAACAUGAAACUGUCAAGCACACACAUUAUUCCUGUAACAUUUGAGGAGUUUGACUGCUUUUGUUAAAUGGGGGAGAAAAAAAGAUUUGAGCAAAGUGUUUAUUUUGCCCAUAAAGCUCUCUGUGCCAUCUCAGCUAUCAUCAGGAUGUCUUCACCCACACCUGCAAACGUCUCUUGUUUACAAAAGCAAAUAAAUAUCGUUCACGUCUCUUUAU